CUUAAUUUCAAACUAUUUUUAAGGUUUAUUUGUUUUGCUUUUAAGUCCUAUAAGAGAAGUUGACAGACUUUUUCUGUAAAGGGACAGGCUAGUACAUAUUUUUGGCUUUGUGGAACAUAUGGUCUCUGUUGCAGGUACUCAACUCUGUAUCAGGAAAGUAGCCACAGAUAAUUGGUAAAUGAAUGGGCAUGGCUGGGUUCAAGUAAAAUUUUAUUUAUGAAAAUAGGCAAGGAGUUUGGAUUAUGCCCCACAAACUAUAGUUUGCCAACCCUAGUCCACAAGAUUCAUUUUCUUUUUCUUAUUCAUUUUUUAUUUUAUUAUUUUUUAAAGAUUCUAUUUAUUUAUUCAUGAGAGACACACAGAGAGAGGCAGAGACACAGGCAGAGGGGGAAGCAAGCUCCAUGCAGGGAGCCCAAUGUAAAACUCGAUCCUGGGACUCCAGGAUAAUGAUCUGAGCCAGUGGCAGAUGCUCAACCACUGAGCCAUCCAGGCAUCCAUCUUAUUCAUUUUUUAAAAAGUAGGUUCCAUGUCUGACAUAGGGCUUGAACUCACAACCCUGAGAUUAAGAGUUGCAUGCUCUCCCAGGCAACUCCAGAAGAUUAUUUUCAAGAACACAAAUCAAAGAAUUGAGUCACACAGAGGACACAAAAUUUAAAGCCGGAACAUGUGCAUCUUUGACCUUUCCCAACCAGGUAUUUACCCAAGAGAAAUGAAGACCUGGAAAGUAAUAUUUGUAGCAGCUUUGUCCACAUUUUCCACAAACUGGAAACAAAUCACAGUACACCUAUACAGUGGAAUGCUCCGCAGUAAAAAGAAUCAAACUAUUGAUACAUGAAACAAGUGAUGUUCUUAUAGAGCCCUGUCUGGGCAGAGAGGCAGGCACCAAACAAGGAAACACACAUUCAAAUAUGGAAUUAUGACUUAUGGUAAGUACAUGGAGGAACAAACAGAGUGCUUUUAUAGAAUUAUGGGA
Molecule: long non-coding RNA, 973 nt
Filed under: Vulpes vulpes (red fox)
Lineage: Eukaryota; Metazoa; Chordata; Mammalia; Carnivora; Canidae
Description: lncRNA (ENSVVUG00000010090.1)
Source: RNAcentral